RNAcentral lists this ribosomal RNA (292 nucleotides) under uncultured bacterium. Its description in RNAcentral is "partial 16S ribosomal RNA". It matches the Rfam family "Bacterial small subunit ribosomal RNA", at positions 505 to 796 of the family's 1533-position model. The record is from RNAcentral.
GUGCCAGCAGCCGCGGUAAUACGUAGGGUGCGAGCGUUAAUCGGAAUUACUGGGCGUAAAGCGUGCGCAGGCGGUUCUGCAAGUCAGAUGUGAAAUCCCCGGGCUUAACCUGGGAACUGCGUUUGAAACUACGGAGCUAGAGUACGGCAGAGGGGGGUGGAAUUCCACGUGUAGCAGUGAAAUGCGUAGAUAUGUGGAGGAACACCGAUGGCGAAGGCAGCCCCCUGGGCCGAUACUGACGCUCAGGCACGAAAGCGUGGGGAGCAAACAGGAUUAGAUACCCUGGUAGUCC